CAAUAAACCACCAUAUCUCAAGAUCUAAGGUAGCUAGACUGAGAGUUGAUCUUCAACUCAAGUAUUAAUGUUGUCUCGAUUUUCAAUUUGAAGAUUUUAGGGAUUCAAGACUUCUCUCAUCCAUUUCUUGAGGUAAUGCUAUUGAGCCACAACCUUGAGUUGGCGUGGGAACUUAGAUGUGAGCUAGAAGAGCUCUAUUGAUUGUGGCCUAGGGCUUUUAUUUUGUUGGUCGAGUGCCAUUUCUUUUGUAAGAGAUAAUUUCCUUUUUACUUUGUUGUAAGCCCAACGUAAAUCUCUUUUGUAAUGAAUGUUGAUCCAUUUAACUUUACAUACUAUAUAUUCAUGCCA
Camellia sinensis is the source of this 348-nucleotide long non-coding RNA. RefSeq lists it as uncharacterized. NCBI's taxonomy places the organism in Eukaryota, Viridiplantae, Streptophyta, Magnoliopsida, Ericales, Theaceae. The record is from RefSeq and is a predicted model, not a curated record.